RNAcentral lists this ribosomal RNA (529 nucleotides) under uncultured bacterium. RNAcentral describes it as "partial 16S ribosomal RNA". It matches the Rfam family "Bacterial small subunit ribosomal RNA", at positions 355 to 874 of the family's 1533-position model. The record is from RNAcentral.
UGGGGAAUAUUGCACAAUGGGCGCAAGCCUGAUGCAGCCAUGCCGCGUGUGUGAAGAAGGCCUUCGGGUUGUAAAGCACUUUCAGCGAGGAGGAAGGUGGUGAGCUUAAUACGCUCAUCAAUUGACGUUACUCGCAGAAGAAGCACCGGCUAACUCCGUGCCAGCAGCCGCGGUAAUACGGAGGGUGCAAGCGUUAAUCGGAAUUACUGGGCGUAAAGCGCACGCAGGCGGUUUGUUAAGUCAGAUGUGAAAUCCCCGGGCUCAACCUGGGAACUGCAUUUGAAACUGGCAAGCUAGAGUCUCGUAGAGGGGGGUAGAAUUCCAGGUGUAGCGGUGAAAUGCGUAGAGAUCUGGAGGAAUACCGGUGGCGAAGGCGGCCCCCCUGGACGAAGACUGACGCUCAGGUGCGAAAGCGUGGGGAGCAAAACAGGAUUAGAUACCCUGGUAGUCCACGCUGUAAACGAUGUCGAUUUGGAGGUUGUGCCCUUGAGGCGUGGCUUCCGGAGCUAACGCGUUAAAUCGACCGCCU